CAAGUACUCCCUCCGUCCGGAAAUACUUGUCGAAAAAAAUGGAUGUAUCUAGAUGUAUUUUAGUUCUAGAUAUAUCAUUUUUAUCUAUUUCUUUGACAAGUAUUUUGGGACAGAGGAGUAUUUA
Molecule: non-coding RNA, 124 nt
Organism: Triticum aestivum (bread wheat)
Lineage: Eukaryota; Viridiplantae; Streptophyta; Magnoliopsida; Poales; Poaceae
Source: Rfam